Molecule: ribosomal RNA, 261 nt
Filed under: uncultured prokaryote
Description: partial 16S ribosomal RNA
Rfam family: Bacterial small subunit ribosomal RNA
Source: RNAcentral
UACGUAGGUGGCAAGCGUUAUCCGGAAUUAUUGGGCGUAAAGAGCGCGCAGGUGGUUGAUUAAGUCUGAUGUGAAAGCCCACGGCUUAACCGUGGAGGGUCAUUGGAAACUGGUCGACUUGAGUGCAGAAGAGGGAAGUGGAAUUCCAUGUGUAGCGGUGAAAUGCGUAGAGAUAUGGAGGAACACCAGUUGCGAAGGCGAUUCUCUGGACUGUAACUGACGCUGAGGCUCGAAAGCGUGGGGAGCAAACAGGAUUAGAUA